Long non-coding RNA from Vespa mandarinia (Asian giant hornet), 467 nucleotides. NCBI's taxonomy places the organism in Eukaryota, Metazoa, Arthropoda, Insecta, Hymenoptera, Vespidae. The record is from RefSeq and is a predicted model, not a curated record.
GACGACAACGAGAAGAGAAGAAUGAGGAGGAUAGUUUUAAACAGGCGCGUGUUACACGAAGUCAAUUGCUUCAAUUCCUUUCAAAGCGAGAUCAGCUACAUAUGUGUGGGCAAACUUCCUGCAGAAUUUGCGAAUAUUAAACCUUAGCGACGAACUAUCUAGCGGGUCUCGCUUUUACGAUAUAUCCUGUCUCGGAACGGCAUUCUUAAUUUACGACGCGACUUAACGUUAACAACUUUAGUCUUAUCCCUCGUUGACAGUCGAUACGCGUAUUCAACAGAGCUCAUCGAUGAUGACAGAUCGAGAAAAAGAGGUGGAAUCGUGCAGAGGAUAUUCUAUGAUUGUUUAAUGCGCUUUAAUCGGCCCGCAUUCAGGAUAAAUCCGUAACAACAGAAUGAUAAGAAGAAGAAGAAGAAGAAAAAGAAAAAGAAAAAGAAAAAGAAAAAGAAAAAGAAAAAGAAGAAGAA